UACACUGCAUCUCCUCCCUCCUUCCCCAAAUCGGCAGCCAUCAACCACCACCCUACCACCAUCAUUCGAUCUUGUUCCAUCCAUUCUAUUACCAUACAAGGAUGCAAGGAGACACACAACGAAGCUUGGUGCGUGCGGAAGUCGAAGGACCGCUCUCGUUUUCUUUUAUCCACCACUUUUCUACACUCGAACUCCCCUAGCCUUGUGCUAGUAGUAAGUUCCUUAGAUCUUCAUCUUGUUCAUGUUUUUAUGUAGUUAAUGAUGUUAAAGAUCAAAAAGAAUGGAAAUCCUAAUGAACAUAAACAAGUCUUGAAGUGUAACUAACUAAAGAUAGAGUAUGGUUAAAGUAGUUAAAAUGAUGAAUGAAAUAUGAUAUUGCUUGAUAAAUCUGAUGAAAAUAAGUAAUAAUUUGUUGUAAUUAUUGUUUUGAUCGCUAAACAUGUUAACGAAAUCAAUUGAACGCACUUUAAGAUGAUAAAAGACUGAAAACAGCAUGCUGAUCUGCUUUUCCAGCCACCUUUAACUGGCUGUAACUGCAUCGUAACUUAACAAAAACUUUAUUUUCUUAAGUCUAUAAUGUGCUAUUAUAAAAUACGGUUCUAAUGACACCGAAAUCGUAAUUUUUGGACCCCGUUUACUAUUUUUAAAGUGUUUCUCCGUAAUAGCAGCUUAAGCUGAAUUUUUCUGCUGAAAAUGUGCGUCCUGUUUUCAGUCAUAACCUGGAAUCUGUGUAGGAUUAGAUCAUGAAACUUAUACUGUAGAUGGUCACUGUUGUCGCCGUGAUCCUCCAACUGGAAUUACGUCAAUCGGACUUACGAAUAAUUUUUAGUAAAUUAUUUCGUAGACUGCAAUCAGAAAGUAACAAAUCUGAUUGCAGUCUAGAAAAUGAAUUUUUAUAAAAUAUUGGUAGUAAAACAGAAGUGACAUAAGUAGUAAUUGCAUGCCAAAGUGUGGUUUUUUUAUUAUUAAAAAUCAUUCUUAUUUAAUUUAGGGCGGAUAAACAAUUGAGGGAUUGUGUUAACGUUUAAAAACGCACCCAAAGGUGAGUACAUAGUUCCCCUAUUUUACUGUUUUCAAUUGUUUUGGGGUGAUUCAUAUGUAUCAAAAUGAUUUCAAUGUUUUAACGAUGGUUUCACAACGAGUAAGAUGGUUUAUAUUAAACUAAUAACGAUUUCGAUAAUGUGAACGAGCUUGUUGGUUGUAAUUACAUAACAAAUGACAUUCAUUAAUUUCGGCCAAACCGACCAGUAUUAGGUUAUGGUACCAUAGGAUCCGACAAAUCCCGUUAUCAGACUGGACCCAUGGUUAUGUGUGGGUUAGGUGGGUAACGACCGAAUCUGAUGAUUGUUAACUUACCCUUUGGUGGUUUGUUAAUACGAGAACAAGUGGAACGAUGAACGAGUCACAAAGGUUUGAAUGUUGUUAACGAGACGACCAAAAGUAGUUUCACAAUCUAAAACGAGAAUGAUUUAAACGACUAAAGAGAUGUUUAACUAAUUAAACGAUCUGGGUAAACGAUUGGAAGCGAUGUCACACAAACGAGGUCUUCGAAACGAUAUAAACUAUACGAAUUUUAUUACGAAAAUGAUUUACGAUUUGGUUUACGAAAAGCAAAUGUUUUGGGUAAAGAUUCAUGGUCUCGAGGUUUACAAAUUAUAACCAAACUAUUUUGAUUCGGUUAUUCAUUUUACGACACAAAUAUUUUACAAAAACAAGAUUUCUAAUGUCGAUUAACGAAGUUAUACGAGUUAUUUCGACAUGCAAAUGAGCCAUGAAUCUGACACUCACGCAAAACCUAUGUGAAGUUGCUUAGUGUUGAUUGCGAAUAGGAAGCAUGCUCACUUAGGACCGGACGAGGCCUUAGUGAUUUAAUAAUGAUAUUAGUCUAUGUUUGAUUUGCUUGUUUAACUUUAAAACAAUGUUUAAUAUUUAAUGAAAUGAAACUCUUCGUAUCCAUGGUUUGAAACAAUAAUUCUGUUACAACACUCCCCGGCGUUUCCGCCACGAUUUGUCGUUUUACGUGGUCGGGGUGUGACAGAAGAGUUGGUAUCAGAGCCAAUGGUUAUAGAGAAUUAGGUUAUUAGUAAAAAUUUCGACCUAGACUAUAACUUUCUAGGACCCCAACGCAAGUUGAUUUGCAUUUAG
Molecule: long non-coding RNA, 2145 nt
Filed under: Helianthus annuus (common sunflower)
Lineage: Eukaryota; Viridiplantae; Streptophyta; Magnoliopsida; Asterales; Asteraceae
Description: hypothetical non coding rna
Source: RNAcentral